AACGAACGCUGGCAGCGUGGAUUAGGCAUGCAAGUCGGACGGGAUCAGCCGGUUAGCAAUAAUUGGCUGUGAGAGUGGCGGAUUGGGAGGAGCACGUGAGCAACCUGCCCUGGAGAUGUGGAAAACCUCUGGAAACGGAGGCUAAUACAGAAUGUGGCGCCCCGUGGCAUCACGGGAGCGCCGAAGGGGGCCGCAAGGCUCCCGCUCCGGGAUGGGCUCGCGCACCAUCAGCUAGUUGGCGGGGUAACGGCCCACCAAGGCCUACGGUUAGCUGGUCUGAGAGGAUGACCAGCCCCACUGGGACUGAGAUACUGCCCAGACUCCUACGGGAGGCUGCAGUCGAGGAUCAUUCGCAAUGGGCGAAAGCCUGACGAUGCGACGCUGCGUGGAAGGAUGAAGGCCUUCGGGUCGUAAACUCCUGUCAUGGGGGAAGAGGCGAGGGGACCCAACACGUCCCUUAGUUGACUGUACCCCAAGAGGAAGCGACGGCUAACUCUGUGCCAGCAGCGGC
RNAcentral lists this ribosomal RNA (511 nucleotides) under uncultured bacterium. RNAcentral's name for it is "bacterial SSU rRNA". It matches the Rfam family "Bacterial small subunit ribosomal RNA", at positions 28 to 518 of the family's 1533-position model. The record is from RNAcentral.